This is a long non-coding RNA of Hippocampus comes (tiger tail seahorse), 1689 nucleotides long. RefSeq lists it as uncharacterized. Lineage: Eukaryota; Metazoa; Chordata; Actinopteri; Syngnathiformes; Syngnathidae. The record is from RefSeq and is a predicted model, not a curated record. The transcript is spliced from 2 exons.
GACAGCAAAAAGGUACGAUGACACAUCACGAAAUUGAAAUUCAAUAGUCAUACAUUCUUGAAUUCAUCCCCGCGUGGACUACGGCGGCGGUGGAGUCGGUGGGGUGGGGUAAACGGGGGGUGAGACGGCUAUUCGCUCAGGCAUUUUGCGCCGCGCAUGGAAAGAAACCACGAUACCCCUUUGUUCCGUUAUCAGAAAAUAGAUCUUGAAUGGGCCUUUUCACGGCUCGCUAUAAUUGAGUGGCUAAGGGGCUAUUCAGUUCCAUAAAACAGACCCUGAUUAGAUAUUCUUGUGUCCGCCAAUCAAAAGCGUCCUUUGAGAGUCUGACCUGAUUUUGAAUGCUGAUGCUACCGUGUGAGCACAUCGACUAUAGAGACGGAGGAGCGGAUGAGGGAAGAAGCUCCUGGAAAAACACCCGACUUCGACAAAAGGGCCCCGCAUUAUGAGUCGAGAUGACCCCUAUGGACGGAGGGGGGCUGGGGGGCUGGGGGACACUGCGAUUAUCGAAGCUGUGGAAGAGCUACGUUGCAUGAAAUGUAUCUGGGGCCAUGCAUAAGCAGACAAUGAAUCACCACAAGAGCACAGAAAAAACAAGGAUUUGCAUGCUGUAAAUAAAGCGCUGCGUUGUGAAAAGGUAACCAUCCCAGAACAGAAAGAAAGAAAGGAAGAAAGAGAUGGGGAGAGCUCCCAGCAAUCAGCGUCGCCGCAAACGAGUCUUUUAUGUCCUCUUUGACAUAACGGAUCUCACAGUUUGCGCUUUGUGACCACCGAGGGCUCGCGGGAUGGCUCCGGGUUUAGGAGAGAAACGUAAACAAGUGCGCACCGAGGUCUCUCUCCCCCUGCAGGCAGCGACACACAUCAGGCGAGCUCUUGGCUCUCGAAAAGCUCCGACUGAAUGAACAGACAAGCAGUAACGCUUAAGAGAUACGGAGGCGCCGCGACUUCUACUAGCGCGGGGCUGUACGAGUGAGAUAGCGAAGGGGGGGGCCGGGGCAGGUUAUCUGUUCGAUAACGCUCAGCAACAAGCACAACAACAACAGCAAACGGUGGCGAGGGAGAAGCACUGCGCUAGGACUUUUCUUACUGAGCAAACGAGAAGAAAUGCUUUUCGAAGUUAUCGCCGCAUGAUGGAUGAGAUGGAAUUUUUUUUUUUUUUUUUUGUUUCUUUGAAUGGUUGGGAGGUAAGUGCCUUCGGUGGAAGGAUUCUGGUGAAGGGGCAGCUUGAUGGCGGACUAGACGGAGACUAAAUGGCUACACGGCAUGCAACUCAAACCACCAACACCCCGCCGACAAACCUCGCAUUGUCCUCCUCUGAAGGAAGAUGGAAUGGACUCCCUUUCGUAUUUGUCUUCUCCCGUUAAGUGGAGCGGACAAACGACAUGCUCAUUUGGUCUGGGGACAUCUGGUCAGAGAUCAGAUUUUGGGGAGCGCCGCAUUUUGGGGAACUUGCUUGCUUGGCUAAUGUCCGGUGAAAUUACAGGCAUGUCAUGACCACCGUCAACCCAUCGGAUUUUCUUCACGAGGACCCGACAGAGAGGUUUGAAGGCGGAGGUAGGGGGAAAAAAGAGGAGGAGGAAAGCAGCAGAGAGAAAGGAAAGCUGGGAGGAGGGCGUCGGAUUAAACCAUACAACAGGUCCCCGAAGUCCUAGCCGCUCCUUCAAAUGGUCCGGGGGAAAAAAAAAAAAAAAA